UUCACCAAGCAUUCUUUUAUUAUUCACGAUUCAAGCAUUUUUUGUUCUUUGUAAUUCUAUCAUACUCAAGAGUUCUUAUUGCUUUCUUAUUCUGUCCAUCUUUAUCGAAAAUUUUAGGGUGUUAAGACCUAACUCUCCUUGACAAAGGUUGAGUUGGAUUGAUUGAGGAAGGAUUGCAGUAAACACUUCUUGGGUUUUGGCUAGUAUACGUUGUAAUUUCCAAUUUUCUGCAUUGUUUUACUCUACAUUACAGCACUGUUUUUAGUUUUCAGUUUUUAUUUUCAUUCAAGUUUUGUACUCUUUCACAUUAGCUUAAUUUUAUAUAAGUUCUUCCAUUAUUCUCCAUCUUUAUUUUGUUUUAAGUUCUUUCAUUAUUCUCCAUCUUUAUUUUGUGUUUACUUUUUAUCAUGUUUUUCAACCUAUUUGUUGUUUUAGUUUGUUUCAAUAUGGGCUAAAUCCUCCUUUGAGAUUUAAAUACGUAAGUGCCCCAAGGGAGGAUAAUAAGCCUUCCAUGCCCAAAAAUUAACUUUGCUAAUUUUCAUAACAUUAUUUGCUAUUGUUGAGUUUAUUUUCAUUAUUAAGUUAGACUAAUCACUUAGAUUGGUAAACAAAAGUUGGGUUUAAUACUGAAAGGGUUAUAUACGACUUAGUUUUCAUAAAAGUAAUAUAGUGAAAACCUUUAGGAUCUUUGAUCAUGUUUUAUUUAUCUAAGUUUACAUUAACCUUAGACAUAUAAGUUUAAUAGUUUAGUUUUCUAAAGGUACUUCAUAGAAGAUUGAAUAGGUGUUGAAAAUGGUCCACCAGUUUUAAGUUUGAGUCAAAAUUACAGUAGCAUGAAAGGUAACAUUCUCCAAUGGGUACACAUAUGUUUGAAUCCCUCUUUUCAUUAUCAUUUAUCUUUUCACAACAGCCAUCUCUCAAAAUAUUUUCUGGCUACAUUUGGUUUCUUUCUUGAUUAAAUUUUGUUCAUCAUAUAAAUUUUGCUAUACAUGUUCCCUUGGGUACUAAUGACCUCAACCAAGACGUAGCCUUAUUGUUGCAUUCGAUACGGUUAACAUAAAUUAUUGUUGUGAACAAAAUCCUAAAAUCUUAGAUCACCUUCUGAUUCACUACUUUUAUGAGGGAUUACUGUAGCAGGAGAAAAGCAAUAUUCACUAGAAGAAAUUCAGGCUUCAAUGUCGGUUGAAAAUAACAUUAUUGGAUGUAUUAUGUCGGUUGAAAAAAACGGAUCUUCAAUGUCGGUUGUAAACCGACAUUGAAGAUGGCCUACAAUGUCAGUUUAAAACCGACAUUGAUGGCCACCCAUUAUUUAUUUUAAAAAAAUUUAUCAAAAUUAAAUUUUGAUUUCCCUCUCGCGUGUGCCCUAACUUUCAUCUCUCAGCUCUCUCACUUUACCAAAUGUACUGCAAUGCCGUCGAAGCCGUCGAAGCUCCCUCGUAGUGCCCUAAAAUUUCCUCUCUCAGUAGUUGCUGGUCGGCCGUUUGCCUUCAGGUGGGGUUGUCUUCAUCGGGCGGUCAUCGGGCGAUCAUCGGAAACGAGCUCGUCAUCCAAGCUUCUCCAUCGCAGGUAUAUCCUCUGUCGUCAUCAUCCAAGCUUCUCCAUCGCAGGACAAGUCGUCUUUGACCACAAAUGGCAAGGCUAGCUUAUCUCAUGGAUGGUUCAAUUUUGACGUGUAAGGCUAAAUUUUGAUUCUUGGGAAUUUGGAAGGAAGAUAGGAAGAUUGUAUUGGACGUGUUUUAAGAAGGUUGACAAGUGGAGAAGGUGCACCCAACACAAAAAGGACUUCAUAACAACAUUAAUAACAAGGACAAGGUUUUCUCUGCAAAGACACAACCUCAGAAGCAUGUUGUUGAGGUAAAUUAUGCUAGAAAUCAGCAAGGCGAUCGAAUGUACAACAACAAUUGUUGGGGAACCAAGGCCACUAAGGCAAGAGCAGUUCGAGUAUGCCUUUGGAGGAUAUGGUGAAGAGCUCGACAGAGUCUACCAUGCAGAUUCAGCAAAACCAAAAGAAGUUCCAGUAGAGUUUUUCCUCUUACAUGAGUAGUAUGGCUACCCAAAUCUUCUAGUUAGCUGAUGCGGUCAGUAGGUUGGACACUUAGUAUGGGAAGCCUCCUUCUCAAUUAGUGCUCAAUGUGCGUAAUGUCAAUGUCAUUUAUGCUAUGAGCUACAUAUAGGGCCCUAAGAUGCUUGAUGAUGUUUUAGUUGAGGUUGUAAGUGAUGAGAAAAAUGAUGAUGUUGAGAGACAAAUUGCUAGCCUGCUAAGAAGAUGUAGGGUAAGAUUUGAUCCACUUUUAAAUUUAAAAGCUAAAUAUCCUUUGUGCUCUUUUUCCUUGCAAGUCGAUUGUUGCUCAGGGAGGAUUAGUUAAGAAGAAGGUGAAAUCUGUCCAAUCUUCUAUAGAAAAGAGGCCUACAACAAAGGGCAAGAAGGUUUGGGUUGAGGUUUCUAAAGAGAAAAAGAAAGAAGAUAUGGUCAAACAGAAAAUAGUUAUCCUAUGUAACUUACCUAUUAAGCAGGAAGACCCAGGUAUGUUUUUUGUGCCUUGUUAGAUAGGCAUGAGAAGAUUUGAGCAUGCCAUGUCAGAUUUAGGGUUUGCUAUUAAUAUUAUGCCUGCUUAUGUUUUCUGUGAAUUUCAGUCUCAUAUCCUGCACUCACAUGCUAUUUCGAUACAGUUAGCUGACCACUCUAUUGUUAGGCCAUUUGGAUUUGUAAAAGAUAUGUUGGUUAGAGUUAAUGAUCUAACAUUUUCUACUGAUUUUUAUGUUUUGGAUGUGAUGUCUUCUUCACCUCCUUUUGAUUUAUCUAUUAUGUGAAAGAGACCCUUUCUUAAGAUAAUUAAGGUUGUCAUCAAUGUGGACAAACAACCUCUAUAAAUUGAUCAGGGAGGUAAAGUUGAAAAAAAUUUAAUGAUUGAUUCUUCUCCCCCCACAAAUCCUAUGUGUUAUAGUACUCAUAUUUUACAGGAUAGUGGUUAAACUCCUAAGUUGGGAGUGGAAGAUGGAGAUAUGGCGGUUCAUGAUGGUUAUGGUUGAUGAAGCCGAGUCGGGUCGAGCAUACCGACGUUAAACAAUUGCGCUAACUAGAGGCAACCAAGAUUUAUUUUUUUUAUUGCUUUUUUAGUUUAGGUUUAUUUUCUAUUUAUUUUUUUUUUGGGCUUAGUUCUUUCAAUUUUUCUUGAUCUUUAGGUUUUAGUUAUCCUCAGAAGAUGGAGAUGAUUAUAUUUUUGAUGAGCAGGAUAUUACGGUCAUCCAAUGUGCCAAAU
This is a non-coding RNA of Benincasa hispida (wax gourd), 3260 nucleotides long. NCBI's taxonomy places the organism in Eukaryota, Viridiplantae, Streptophyta, Magnoliopsida, Cucurbitales, Cucurbitaceae. The record is from RefSeq and is a predicted model, not a curated record.